This 29-nucleotide small RNA is filed under the name Bombyx mori (domestic silkworm). RNAcentral's name for it is "ovarian small RNA-26540". Lineage: Eukaryota; Metazoa; Arthropoda; Insecta; Lepidoptera; Bombycidae. The record is from RNAcentral.
UCCAAGGCAAGCUAACUUAGGGCCACCGC